AGAACCAUGGCUCAGUGGUAAAACAUCUGCGCUGAAUGCAGGAGGUCCCAGGUUCAAUUUUUGGUGCCUCUU
Molecule: transfer RNA, 72 nt
Filed under: Sphaerodactylus townsendi
Lineage: Eukaryota; Metazoa; Chordata; Lepidosauria; Squamata; Sphaerodactylidae
Description: tRNA-Ser
Source: RNAcentral